This 773-nucleotide long non-coding RNA is filed under the name Equus caballus (horse). Its description in RNAcentral is "lncRNA (ENSECAG00000057048.1)". The record is from RNAcentral. Lineage: Eukaryota; Metazoa; Chordata; Mammalia; Perissodactyla; Equidae.
GUUAGUGGUUCCCUCCAUUGUCCGGUGUCAUGGGGACAGGUCCUGGUCACCCCCCCUGUGCUCGUGGAGCUCUGUGUCAUGGGGACAGGUCCUGGCCACUGCCCUGUGCUCGCGGAGCUCUGUGUCAUGGGGACAGGUCCUGCUCACCCCCCUGUGCCCAUGGAGCUCUGUGUCAUGGAGACAGGUCCUGGUCACCCCCUUGUGCCCAUAGAGCCUGUGUCAUGGGGACAGGUCCUGGCCACCACCCUGUGCCCGUGGAGCUCUGUGACAUGGGAACAGGUCCUGCUCAUCUCCUUGUGCCCGCAGAGCCUAUGUCAUGGGGAUGGGUCCUGGUCCCAGGUUGUGGGCUGUGUGGAGACUCGAAUGCCAGGCUGCCCCUUGGACUCUCAAUCUGCAGGCCUGUAGGGAAGACAGGACCCAUGUACAGGAGGUCAUGGACAAAGACCGUCCCUUCCAGACUGGAGCGUCCUCCUCUGCUCCAAAUCCCAAGAACCUGCAGACUCCCCAGCAUCUGCGCUCGCUCAGCCCUGUUGUGAAGGAGGGGAGACCCCCGGCCGUGGGAAUUGAGUCCAGUUUUCAGGAAAAACUUAGUUGAAACAGGGCCUUUGCAUCUGCCAUUCUCUCCGCCCCGAGGGCCCUUGCUUGCCACCUCUGUGGGUCCAGUUAAUUCCUUCCUUCCAUCGAUGCCAACUCAGGCAGCAGUUCUUUAGAGAUGUCUUCCUCGGGUCUCAGAAUGCCCUGCGCUUCUCUUUGGCAGCAUGUGUCACUGUUUU